GGAUUUUGACUUCUCAAAAGCAAAUUAUUAACCUCUGGUACAUCAGAACUAAAUUCAUAAAGAGAAAACAGAGAGAUAUCAAAAACGAACAACACCGAAAGUAAUUCACAGAGAAAAGCCUAAAAAACAAGACAGAAUUGAAAGGAAGGAACAUCUGAAAGUGACACACAAAGACAAAUUGGAAAGACAAGAAAGAACUGAAAAAAGGGAGAGGCAUACAG
Long non-coding RNA from Numida meleagris (helmeted guineafowl), 221 nucleotides. RefSeq lists it as uncharacterized. The record is from RefSeq and is a predicted model, not a curated record. NCBI's taxonomy places the organism in Eukaryota, Metazoa, Chordata, Aves, Galliformes, Numididae. The transcript has 4 exons.